Molecule: ribosomal RNA, 468 nt
Filed under: uncultured bacterium
Lineage: Bacteria
Description: partial 16S ribosomal RNA
Rfam family: Bacterial small subunit ribosomal RNA
Source: RNAcentral
GACGAACGCUGGCGGCGGGCUUAACACAUGCAAGUCGAACGGCAAGGCCCUGCUUUUUUGCGGUGCUCGAGUGGCGAACGGGUGAGUAACACGUGAGUAACCUGCCCUUGACUUUGGGAUAACUUCAGGAAAGUGGGGCUAAUACCGUAUAGGAGCUCCUCUUGCAGGGUGGGGGUGGGAAAGUCUAGGCGGUUGGGGAUGGACUGGCGGCUUAUCAGCUUGUUGGUUGGGUAGUGGCUUACCAAGGCUUGGAACGGUCGCCGGCCUGUGAGGGUGGACGGGGACCAUGGGACUGAGGUACGGACCAGUGUGCUACGGGAGGCAGCAGUGGGGAAUAUUGCACAAUGGGAGGAAGCGUGAUGCAGCAGCGCCGCGUGCGGGAUGACGGUCUUCGGGUUGUAAACCGCUUUCGGCUGUGACGAAGCGUGAGUGACGGUAAUGAGUAAAGAAGCACCGGCUAACUACGUG